Molecule: small nucleolar RNA, 78 nt
Filed under: Tupaia belangeri (northern tree shrew)
Lineage: Eukaryota; Metazoa; Chordata; Mammalia; Scandentia; Tupaiidae
Description: Small nucleolar RNA SNORA42/SNORA80 family (ENSTBEG00000020577.1)
Source: RNAcentral
GCCGCUGCUAAAGCAAAUGACCCAAACAUGUCCCCUCUCUGGGUUUGGGCUCCUGGCACUGAAGUGGGAUGCAUAGUG